RNAcentral lists this ribosomal RNA (440 nucleotides) under uncultured bacterium. RNAcentral's name for it is "partial 16S ribosomal RNA". It matches the Rfam family "Bacterial small subunit ribosomal RNA", at positions 338 to 795 of the family's 1533-position model. The record is from RNAcentral.
CCUACGGGAGGCAGCAGUGGGGAAUAUUGCGCAAUGGGGGAAACCCUGACGCAGCAACGCCGCGUGCGGGAUGACGGCCUUCGGGUUGUAAAACGCUUUCAGCAGGGAAGAACAUCGACGGUACCUGCAGAAGAAGCUCCGGCUAACUACGUGCCAGCAGCCGCGGUAAUACGUAGGGGGCGAGCGUUAUCCGGAUUCAUUGGGCGUAAAGCGCACGUAGGCGGUGGCCUAAGCGGGAGCUCUAACCUCGGGGCUCAACCGCGAGGCGGGUCGCGAACUGGGCGUCUCGAGUGCGGUAGGGGAGAUCGGAAGUCCCGGUGUAGCGGUGGAAUGCGCAGAUAUCGGGAAGAACACCGAUGGCGAAGGAAGAUCUCUGGGCCGCCACUGACGCUGAGGCGCGAAAGCUAGGGUAGCGAACAGGAUUAGAUACCCGGGUAGUC